This 602-nucleotide long non-coding RNA is filed under the name Cricetulus griseus (Chinese hamster). RNAcentral describes it as "lncRNA (ENSCGRG00015039517.1)". The record is from RNAcentral. Lineage: Eukaryota; Metazoa; Chordata; Mammalia; Rodentia; Cricetidae.
UGAGCAUCCACCAGAGAGUGCGCGAGAGCUGCAGUACCCACCAGGCUGAGCGCUCCAGUUUGCGCUUGCGCACAAGCGCUCCUCCCGCCCCAAGCAGAUCGUGCUGCCAGCUGCUGCUCUCCAGAGAAGUGAUGCCUAGGUCCCUGGAGGGAACAGUGGAAUCUUGAUUAACUUUGAUAGUAUCCGAAUUUUUCCUUCUCCUGUGGAAACAAAGGCGAAACCCCUUCCUCAACGUAACACAUGUCCUGGUUUCCAUACAGAGGUGUAUACGGACUUUGGACUACUUUACUUACCUCUCCUGAUUUAUAACCUGCCUUACCUGAUUUGUUGACAUCAGUGUAGAAGAUAUUUAACGUGCCUGGUGAGUGUUCCAGCAUCUGUUAUAUGAGAGAGUUGAAGCACAUAAAUUACCAGUCUGCAUUCUCCAGGCUCCAAUCAUGUGAUUUCAGGCUUUGGAGGAAGUAUGAUGUUGUGUCUCUUCAGCCUUGUGGAAAGGAUUUAACAAGCAGCUUAGUAUGUAAGGGCAGCUGCUCUUAUUUCAGAAUAAUAUGACAACUGUGUAUCUAAAUGACUCUUCUGUGUCUAAUAAAGCCAAAAUGAGA